Molecule: ribosomal RNA, 440 nt
Filed under: uncultured bacterium
Lineage: Bacteria
Description: partial 16S ribosomal RNA
Rfam family: Bacterial small subunit ribosomal RNA
Source: RNAcentral
CCUACGGGUGACAGCAGUGGGGGAUAUUGCACAAUGGGGGGAACCCUGAUGCAGCGACGCCGCGUGGGUGAAGGAGCGUUUCGGCGCGUAAAGCCCUAUCGGCAGGGAAGAAGAUGACGGUACCUGGCCAAGAAGCCCCGGCUAACGACGGGCCAGCAGCCGCGGUAAUACGUAGGGGGCAAGCGUUAUCCGGAUUUACUGGGGGUAAAGGGGGCGCAGACGGCACUGCAAGCCAGGAGUGAAAGCCGGGGGCCCAACCCCGGGACUGCUCUUGGAACUGCAUGGCUUGAGUACAGGAGGGGCAGGCGGAAUGCGUAGUGUAGCGGUGAAAUGCGUAGAUAUUAGGAGGAACACCGGUGGCGAAGGCGGCCUGCUGGACUGUGACUGACGUUGAGGCCCGAAGGCGUGGGGAGCAAACAGGAUUAGAUACCCGUGUAGUC